GACGAACGCUAGCGGCGGGCUUAACACAUGCAAGUCGAACGGAAAGGCCCUGAUCUUGUUUGGUGCUCGAGUGGCGAACGGGUGAGUAACACGUGUGUAACCUGCCCUUGACUUUGGGAUAACUUCAGGAAACUGGGGCUAAUACCGCAUAGGAGCUCCUGCUGCCUGGUGGUGGUUGGUAAGUUUCGGCGGGUGGGGAUGGACUCGCGGCUUAUCGGCUUGUUGGUGGGGUAGUGGCUUACCAAGGCUUUGACGGGUAGCCGGCCUGAGAGGGUGACCGGCGACAUGGGGCCUACGCCAACGCCCAGCAGCCGAAGGGAGGCAGCAGUGGGGAAUAUUGCACAAUGGGCGGAAUCCCGAUGCAGCAACGCCGCGUGCGGGAUGACUGCCUUCGUGUUGUAAACCGCUUUCGCCUGUGACGAAGCGUGAGUGACGGUAAUGGGUAAAGAAGCCACGGCUAACUACGUG
This 468-nucleotide ribosomal RNA is filed under the name uncultured bacterium. RNAcentral describes it as "partial 16S ribosomal RNA". It matches the Rfam family "Bacterial small subunit ribosomal RNA", at positions 28 to 507 of the family's 1533-position model. The record is from RNAcentral.